RNAcentral lists this ribosomal RNA (406 nucleotides) under uncultured bacterium. RNAcentral's name for it is "partial 16S ribosomal RNA". It matches the Rfam family "Bacterial small subunit ribosomal RNA", at positions 30 to 526 of the family's 1533-position model. The record is from RNAcentral.
AUUGAACGCUGGCGGCAAGCCUAACACAUGCAAGUCGAACGAGUGGCGGACGGGUGAGUAAUGUCUGGGAAACUGCCUGACGGAGGGGGAUAACUACUGGAAACGUUAGCUAAUACCGCAUACAGUCGGAUGUGCUCAGAGUGGAUUAGCUAGUAGGUGGGGUAAAGGCUCACCUAGGCGACGAUCCCUAGCUGGUCUGAGAGGAUGACCGGCCACACUGGAACGGAGACACGGUCCAGACUCCUACGGGAGGCAGCAGUGGGGAAUAUUGGACAAUGGGCGCAAGUCUGAUGCAGCCAUGCCGCGUGUAUGAAGAAGGUCUUCGGGUUGUAAAGUACUGUCAGCGGGGAGGCGUUACCCGCAGAGGAAGCACCGGCUAACUCCGUGCCAGCAGCCGCGGUAAUAC